AAAUUGAAUUUAUUAAGGAUGAAAUAGUAUUUAUGAAUAUAUUUAUGAUACUUAAAGUGGCUUACAAAUUUUGCGAAAAACCAAAGGCAGAUCAAUACCCGACCGGGCGGACCAGCAACCAUGGGCCGUUUAGGCUUAUUGAACACCUGAGUCGUGUGUCAACAGUGUCCGGCCACCGUUCAAAUCGAUUAUUGGACUAUUCAAUCCCAAACUAAAACAAUUGCGAUUCGAGCUCGAGUAUAUAACAGCUCGAGCUUUACUCGACUCGACAAAAUGCAUACCCUAGAACACGAGGGACGCACUUAUUUUGAGGGCCAAGAUCAAUACUAGUGUUUUCCUCAACGGUAGAAGAAAGCAAAAGUUGAUUGGCGGAUUAUGAGGCCAGGAGGGAGAUGAACUUGACCACGGCAUCGACGGCGUUCUGAGCAGCAAGGGAGGCGAAAGUGGUGGCCUCAUUGGAGAGCGAGGAGCCGCCGCCGGCCAAGUCGGAGAGAGACCUGAAGGCGAU
This 508-nucleotide long non-coding RNA is filed under the name Eucalyptus grandis. RNAcentral's name for it is "long non-coding RNA (EGRA_LNC007420)". The record is from RNAcentral. Lineage: Eukaryota; Viridiplantae; Streptophyta; Magnoliopsida; Myrtales; Myrtaceae.